This 506-nucleotide ribosomal RNA is filed under the name uncultured bacterium. Its description in RNAcentral is "partial 16S ribosomal RNA". It matches the Rfam family "Bacterial small subunit ribosomal RNA", at positions 29 to 523 of the family's 1533-position model. The record is from RNAcentral.
AGUGAACGCUGGCGGUAGGCCUAACACAUGCAAGUCGAACGGCAGCACAGAGGAGCUUGCUCCUUGGGUGGCGAGUGGCGGACGGGUGAGGAAUACAUCGGAAUCUACUCUGUCGUGAGGGAUAACGUAGGGAAACUUACGCUAAUACCGCAUACGACCUACGGGUGAAAGCAGGGGACCUUCGGGCCUUGCGCGAUUGAAUGAGCCGAAGUCGGAUUAGCUAGUUGGCGGGGUAAAGGCCCACCAAGGCGACGAUCCGUAGCUGGUCUGAGAGGAUGAUCAGCCACACUGGAACUGAGACGCGGUCCAGACUCCUACGGGAGGCAGCAGUGGGGAAUAUUGGACAAUGGGCGCAAGCCUGAUCCAGCCAUACCGCGUGGGUGAAGAAGGCCUUCGGGUUGUAAAGCCCUUUUGUUGGGAAAGAAAUCCAGCUGGCUAAUACCCGGUUGGGAUGACGGUACCCAAAGAAUAAGCACCGGCUAACUUCGUGCCAGCCGCCGCGGUAA